AUGGGUCAUAGUGCUUAAAAAACUGAAAGGUUUGUUUAGUUACAAAGCCUCUAGCAGAAACACCUCCUGUGACCACCCCCAUCUUCAUUGGAAACUACAGUACCUGAAGCUACUAAAGUAUCCGUGCUAUUCAUAGAAUUGGGACUGAUCUGUUUGUCACAUCCAGAUUUUGAUUAGUUUAAAGUUACUUAGGCCUCCUCUUCCUCCUCAACAAAACUAUUAAUGCAAACCAUAGAGUUUGUAUUUGCGAAUAUUUUCAUGUUAAAAUCUCAUUUAAAAAAUUGUUUAAUGUAUACAAAUAUAGCAGAUUUUUGUCAUCAUAUUACACCUUGGCUGAAAACCGCUCUUCAGCACCAAUGAGUGAUUAAAAGUUUUAUCAAUAACGUUGAUUUGCUACUUACAGAAUAUCAUUGUCCUGUUUCACAGAGAAAAGGAGGUGGGUAAUACAGUACAUUAAAACUCUCAUUAUCGAGAUUCUUAAAUUUUCCAGGGAGAAAUGUCUGGUUCUCCAUUCCCAAUAACUGGACAGAUGGCCAGUUAACACCCAAAUGGCUCAAAUCGCCAGGUGCAAUUACUGUAUCUCCUCUGCUCAAAUGACAUUAGUUUUGUGAUUUUUUUUUUUUUUUUUGUAAAGCACCCAACGUUGUAGGACUUAUAAUUACGAGAAAUGUAUAAGGGUUAAUGGGGGUAGAUCUGCAUGCCCUUUCAAAGGCCAAAUCAAACUGUUUCUCAAUGAUUUUGUAUUCUAAUUUGGUCAUCAGUAAGGAGAAGCCAACUGCAACUUGCGUAUUCUGGGAAACAAUAAUGAUGUAAGAGUAAGAUCACCCAAGCAAGUACAGUACAGUUUCUAUAUCCAUGUAGAAAAGUGUCAGAAAAGAAAUGAUAAGAGCAGAUAGGUGCAAGUGCAGUAUAGACAAUGAGGAACACAGUAUAAUAUAUGAGAUGCCAUAGAGUUUGAGAUACAAGACCAUGAAUUACUGAAGUUGAGUAAUACAAGUAUUCAAUCCUCCUCACCCAACCCCUUAGCAGUGCUUACAAAAAGUUAAAUACAGUAAUGCAGUCAUACUGUAUUUGUCUAUGGAAGUUUUUUUUUUUUUAUAGAAUGUAAUAAGUUAAACAAAUAUUUGUUAGUAAAUAGAUAAUUUUAAAUGACUGCAAUGGAGAGGAUUGAUUUCCAUGUUAACUUAUUUCCUUUUGAUAUAUCUAAAAUAUUUGCUGCAAGUAUUGCCAUAAUCAUCUAGUCAUUUUUCCAGUGUGAGGUGCAUAUUUUUAACCACUGGUACUAGGUGGCUGGCAUCAGAGCACCAGUGGUACUAAGUGGCUGGUACCAGGGCACCAGUGGUACUAAGUCACCACUGGUACUAGGUGGCUGGUACAAGAGCACCAGUGGUACUAAGUCACCACUGGUACUAGGUGGCUGGUACCAGAGCACCAGUGGCACUAAGUCACCACUGGUACUAGGUGGCUGGUACCAGAGCACCAGUG
Non-coding RNA from Procambarus clarkii (red swamp crayfish), 1485 nucleotides. Lineage: Eukaryota; Metazoa; Arthropoda; Malacostraca; Decapoda; Cambaridae. The record is from RefSeq and is a predicted model, not a curated record.